RNAcentral lists this long non-coding RNA (3067 nucleotides) under Arachis ipaensis. RNAcentral describes it as "long non-coding RNA (AIPA_LNC002073)". Lineage: Eukaryota; Viridiplantae; Streptophyta; Magnoliopsida; Fabales; Fabaceae. The record is from RNAcentral.
AGAGAUAUGUUACGUGUACGUAUUAAGUGUCAGACAUUGUGUCGACUCAUUUCUCGUAGAUGGGAUGUGAGACGGCACGACGUUUAACACGUAAUACGUUACAUGGAACACUUUUCUAUUUCUGACUCCAAUGUAAUUGUUAGUUACCUGUUACCACUUCUGCUUGCAAGUGAAAAUAUGUAAAAGAUAAAACCGUGGCAUGAAUACUCAAAUGUCAUAGUAUUCAACACUUGCAAUUCCUGAAAUAUGUGAACUAACAUCAUUGAGGAUUAUAAUUAUCCUCCAAGUUUUGUGAUCGGUGUAUUACCAUGUAAUGUAGGCAGAGUUUUUCGUUCAUUUUUUUUUCUCCAGUUAUAGAAUAUGCAAUGGUAGAUCUUAAAAAAAAGUAGCUUGCACACACUAAGUAUAAAUAAAUCUUUUUUAUUUAUCAAAUGAAGUGCUUCUGUCCAAAAAACUAUAUCAAAUGAGGUCUUAAUUUUUUUAUUUAUUUUUAUGACACAAUUCUAAAAAGAAGAAUGUAAGAGGGUCAUCAAAAUUUAUUGUUUUUGACUAUGAGUUAAUUAUUAAUAUUUUAAAAUAUAGAAUAAAAUAUAUUAUUGAAUUAUUAAAUUAAAACUAAAAAAAUUAGACUAAAAUAAUUAUUUUGAUGAACAAGUGGGUACACAUUGCUCGGUAUUAGGAGCUGAUUUGCUUUUCUUCUUCAUUAUUCCCUUUGUCACUUAUUUUUUAUUAGGUAAUGACUUCAAACCCUGAACAUGCAUCAUUAGAGACAACAAUUCUUGAUGCACUCCAUAUGAUGCAUGAUGGGAAGUUCUUACAUCUUCCAGUGGUGGACAAAGGUAAAUUUGCUUUUUCAAAUGCAUACAUAAUCUCUCUACUCUUUUUCCUUUUUUUUGGCAUCGAGUAUUAUUUGUUUUUUGCAGACGGCAACAUUGCUGCUUGUUUGGAUGUUUUGCAAAUAACAACUGCUGCAAUUUCUCUGGUAAAUUUUAUGUUUUAAAUACUCGUAAAAUGUUGAAUAAUGGACUACUCUGUUAUCAAGCAUCAAUUUUAACUCCUUAGCUUUUAACUUUUGAAGAAAAUUUUUUCUACCCUCUACUUGGAUGGCAUAUCUUAUAAUUUUUCCCGCUGAAAGGAUUAUUCUGGAGUUUGUCUUAAAUUCUUCAAAUUUUGUCUUUCUUUUUUUGUUCCUAAUUAAAUGAUAAAAGUUGUCUACAUAUAUUAUCCAACUGUGUUUUCCGUAGUCAUUGAAUUUGAUUGAAGGAAUUGAAGUAUUGAUAAAGUAUUUGUGCCUUCUAGAUGCAAUGGUAUUCAUGUAUAUGAUUGUUUCCAUCUAUAUUUGGACUAUUGCUGAAUGUUAGCUGUUACCCUUCCCCGAACGAUCAGAAUAUUGCUGCAAGUUAGCUUUUCAUUAUUCUUCUUGCAUAUUUUCUUGAUAAUUCUUUUUGGAACUGUUGGCUAUGUACUUACCUGACAUACAGUGAAUAUUGUUUAUUAAGCUUUGUAUACACCUUUGUAUCUAAAUUUGCUAUUAUCAUGCAGAUUGUGGUGUCUUGUUACUAAGCUAUUUAUAUGUAAUUUGUAGGUUGAAAGUAGCUCUGGAACUGUAAAUGAUAUGGCAAACUCAAUUAUGCAAAAAUUUUGGGACUCAGCUUUAGCGCUAGAGCCACCAGAUGAUUAUGACACUCAGAGGUACUUUGGUUGUAGCUAUUUUACUUCAGUAUACAAUUUUUUUUGGCCAUUUAACAAGCAUUUAUGUUUGGUCGCAGUGAAGUUUCCGGGAUAAUGAAUUCAGAUGGAGCAGAUACUGCAAAGUCUACAUACCAAACUGUAGGUCAUGGAAAUUCAUUUACUUUUAAAUUUGAGGAUCCUAAUGGUCGAGUGCAUCGAGUCACCUGUGGUGAGUGACAUCUUGGAAAAGCAUUGCUAGUACAUCAUUUGUCUUAUCGAAAAUUAGCCUUCAGCUUCUUGUGGAUAAACGUUAAUGUUGUAAUUUUUCUUUCCUACCUAUUCUUUUAUUCUUGGAAAAACUUUGUAUCACCUCUCCCUUUUCUGUAGGAGCGGAAAAUCUAGAUGAGCUUGUAUCUGCUAUCAUGGAAAGGGUCAGUAAUAAUGACAGAUCACGCCCCGUAAUUUUGGUAUGUCUUCUUCUAGUUCAGGUCUCUUCCUUUUGAUUGUAAGCUCAUGUAUUUAUUAUGUUGCUUGUUUUUUCUUUCCUUCUAGUAUGAUGACGAUGAAGGUGAUAAAAUUGUUAUUGCAAACGAUAGUGAUCUCGUUUCUGCUGUCAGCUAUGCUCGAUCUGCAGGACUGAAGGUGAAGAUUAUGCUUUUACAAGCUAUUGUCUCGGUUUCCAUGGUUUAAUUCUUAUUUGGUGUAUGCAUUUAAGCAUCUUUAUAUUUCAGGCCUUGAAGUUGGAUUUGGAGUUUACAGAUUCAGCUAAACCCGUGACACCACAGUCUGCAAUAGCCAUGACCACAACCACAGCUACGAGACGGAAAACAGAAGGCGGCAUGUUGUCCAUUCGCUCGAGUAUUUUUGCAGGUGCUGUUGUUCUAACGAGCAUUGGCGUGGUGGCUUACUUGAAGCGCUCAAAUCAGUGAUUUCUUCACCAGUUGGAAAACACAACAGGCAGUAAAAAUCAUACUGUAUAAACUCCUUAGCUUUAUUGUCACUUAAAUCUUCAUUCAUUGCAGCAAGGUGAUGUGAAAGUUCUCCUUUACUAUAUUUUGUAGUUGUUUUAGCCAAUGUCUUGUGAGGGUUGUUUGGUUUUGCAUAUAUUUUUAAGAGAUAUGUUACGUGUACGUAUUAAGUGUCAGACAUUGUGUCGACUCAUUUCUCGUAGAUGGGAUGUGAGACGGCACGACGUUUAACACGUAAUACGUUACAUGGAACACUUUUCUAUUUCUGACUCCAAUGUAAUUGUUAGUUACCUGUUACCACUUCUGCUUGCAAGUGAAAAUAUGUAAAGAUAAAACCGUGGCAUGAAUACUCAAAUGUCAUAGUAUUCAACACUUGCAAUUCCUGAAAUAUGUGAACUAACAUCAUUGAGGAUUAUAAUUAUCCUCCA